UUUACAGCAGAGCAGAAGGUGCAAAGGUUAUACGGAGCAGUACAUUUGAAGAACUUUCUCCUAUGCAAGCUUACGAGUGGAACACAGAAGGAGAUGCGGUUUAUUUUACCAGUCCGAGAGAUACAGAUUAUUUGAGAACACAGAACAGGGGAAGUAUCACGACCAUCACCCAACUGACCCAUCAGUUAUUACGGAACCGACUGCUGCUGGCUACAGAUUCCUGGUUGGUUCAAUGACCAGAAGAUGGGAAUACAAGUCAGUGUAAAUGAAGAAACACUAUGGAGAAUAUCCGGAUACAGAA
Xenopus laevis (African clawed frog) is the source of this 301-nucleotide long non-coding RNA. RefSeq lists it as uncharacterized. The transcript is spliced from 3 exons. NCBI's taxonomy places the organism in Eukaryota, Metazoa, Chordata, Amphibia, Anura, Pipidae. The record is from RefSeq and is a predicted model, not a curated record.